This is a long non-coding RNA of Drosophila sulfurigaster albostrigata, 3385 nucleotides long. RefSeq lists it as uncharacterized. NCBI's taxonomy places the organism in Eukaryota, Metazoa, Arthropoda, Insecta, Diptera, Drosophilidae. The record is from RefSeq and is a predicted model, not a curated record. The transcript has 2 exons.
CUUCGUCUAGAAGCGUGUUAAGGGUGCUUGAACUCAACAUUUAUCAAGUGGAUCCUCUUUUUGCCGCUUGGUUAGCAAAUUAAGUACGGUAAAUGCGCCAAAGAAUGUCAAAUUAAAAUGUGCUUUUGCGUUGACAGCUGAGCAGCUGAGCAGCUCAAUGAAUAAUGGAAUAUGUACUAUCAAAUCCGAGACGAAUACAACGAUAUAGAUGUAAAUCGACGGCAAUUUAAUAGUAAAAGAGGAAAUCUUAAAUUUGGCAAUAAAUUACGAAAUUGUUCAUAAAUAUUUUACGAUUAUUUCAAGUCAAAUUAUCACCUAACAUUGCGCAAUUAAGAAGUUACAUGCAGUUAACAGCGCCGCUUAACAGCUGCUGUUGGCAGCAUUAACAGUGGCCGAACAGCAGCUGUUAAGUUUUAAGAGAGCGACGCUUGCCAUUUAACAUUACAUUAAGCAUAGCAUCCUCUGCAAUUUACCAACAGCAGCUGCUGCUGCUGUCAAAGAGGACAACUAACAGCAGCAGCAUCAGCAGCAGCAGCAAACAGUGAAAUCACCAUGGCGGCCACUUCUUUUCGGCUGCUGCUUUCAGUUGUUGUUGGACCACAAGAGCGUUUCGUUGUGUGACGGCAGAAAAGCAAAAGUUAUCAACCAAACGAACAGUGGAUAAGGAAAGAGGCAAGAGAAACAGAGAGUGAGCAAAAGAGAGAGUGAGUGCGUGUGUGGAGAGAGCGCUAGACAUUACAAUUCUUCUUCGUGUGGUUGUUGUUGUUGCCGCUGCUUGAAACAAAGCCAGCAAUUCUUGUGCAUGUUAAAAGCGGCGACAGUCACCACGGGUGAGCGUCUACAUAUAUGUAUGAGAGCGACUGCGACGGCGAAGGCGAAUGCCGAAUAGAAGUGUGAGUGAGUGAGUGAACUGCCGAAGGCAUUGUAUGAUGAUGCUGCUGCUGCUGCUGCUGCUGCUGCCAUAUGCAUGUGUGGGUGCAGACAAUACAAAAGCAGCGCAUUAGCGUCGCUGCUACUGACGCUGCUGCUGUUCUUCUUGUUGUUGUUGCCUGUUAAUUUGCAUGCGGGCGCAAUUUUGCUGUUCUUCUUGUUGUUGUUGUUGUUGUUGUUGUUGUUGUUGUUGCCUGCAUCUUGUGGCCGCCCUGCAAUAACAAUGCUGCUGGGGCUGAUGCUGCUGCUGCUGCUGUGCCGGACAUUUGUAGUAGUUGUAGUGCUGUUUUGUUAUUGUUGCUAUUGUUUGUGUGUUUUUUGCUUGCUUGUGCAGUGGUGUUGUUAGCGGUGGCUUGUUGGUUUUUUUUUUUAUUGUGAAUUGUGCCCGUCAGCCAAAAUGCGUUUGUAACAGCCAAACUAUCCAGCUGCCAACUUUACGGCAUAUGUUGACGAGUCCUUUUACCUACGACUACAGCUUUCUAUGUGUGUGUGUGUGUUAAUUAAGUUAGUGACUUUUUUGCCGUUGGGCCCACAUGGCGUAUGAAUAAUGGCCACGACGACUUUGUCGCUUCUUUUUAGCCAAAGACGUCGUGCAGUUGCUAUUCAUGAUAGCACAGCAGGUGAAUCGUCAUCAUCAUCAUCAUCGUCAUUAUCAACUUCAUGAACUGGCCAACAUAUGCUACCAUAUGUUAAUGUGGCCAGAACAACGUUGGGGGUGUAAAGCAAGCAACACUGCUCGCAAGUUUUGUAUUUUAAUUGCACUUUUAAUAUGCAUUAUAAACAACAGCAGCAAAAAAAUAAGUGAAACAAAAUUUUAACAAACUCCCAACUGGAAGUGAACUUUGCCAUGACCAAAAAAAAUGGACAAUACCCAUUAAAGUUUAAUCAGAAACGGAAGUUAAGCGCACAACUUCCGCCCAAAAGUUUGUCCGAAAGCAAACUGCGAGAGACAGAGAAACAGAGAGACUGAGAGUGAGAGUUGAGAGUUGAGGGAAGCUCUUAAGCAAGGAACGUGAUGACGAGGCCAUUACGAGGAGGGCACAAGUUUGAAACCAAAAUGCCAAAGUGUCCAAGCGCGGCGCAAAAAUUUCAAUUUCCAAGCAUGUUUCUAAAUUAAACUGACGAAAAAACCAACGAAAAUCAAAGCAGGCAAAACAUUUCUAACAUUUCUAAAACAAAAUACAAAAAUACAAAAAAAAAACAAAUACGAAGAUAACAUUUUGUGUGUGAAUGGAAAACUGUGUGGAAACUCUGUUUCCAUUUAGCAACAACUUACUUGCACAAAGCAAUAGAAAUGCGCACUUCCCUCCUCUCUCGACAAUUCACUUCCAAUUCGUAUUCGCUGUGCACAAAGUUUUCCCCCCGAGUGUGGACCAAAAAAAAAAAAAAAAAAAAAGAAAUAAAAAUGCGAAGAAAGCUACUUUGACUUCGGAAAGUUUGGAAAUGUCGAAUGGCGAAUUGGCGCUGCAAAUCUAACACAAUUGGUAUAAAAUGUGGCAGACCAUAAGCAUGAAAUGAGUUUAUUAAUCAAAAUGGAAAUAUUAUACUUCAAAUGCCAUAUUAGUUUUCGAUUUGAUUCGAAUUUCUAACUUUUCUUCAAGCCUCCCAAAAGUAGACUAUGAAAAAGUCAUUGUUGCGUAUUUGUACAAAAAGUGUAUUGAUGAUGAUGAAUAUAAUAGGUAGGAAAAUAAAAGGAAAGCCAUGAUUGAAUAUCCUGGAAACAUUUUGUAAACAUUUUCGCUGAUGAUAAAUAAACAUUUUGUGCAACUGAAGUUGCAAUUUAACCUUUGCCUCAGUUGCAUACCGCAUGUGGCACUGAUGAGUGGCGCACAUAUAAAAAGCUGGGAAAUUGCGUAAACUGAAAAGGGACACAACACAAAGCAACACAAAAUAAAAAAGGUAGCGAGUUGUCGUGUAUUUAACUUGGAAAUUUCUACGUUUCUCCGUUUUCAGUGCAGUUGCAAACUGUUCUCGCAGUUUAUAUUUACAACCGUUGCCAUUGCAGUUAAUUUGUAGCUACACAUUUUUAAUUUCAUGCCAGCAGGCAGCCGACGCAGUCAGGCGGCAGAGGAUGCAACUCCCCUUUUCCCAAUCCCAUUCAAAAAGUGACCAAACAACAAGUGCAAAAAGGGGAAAUGAAACAGGACGAAACAACGCCGCAGUUUUUAUGCUUGUGGUAAUUUUGCGCUUUUGUUUUAAAGACUUUUGCUAAUUUCGGCAACAAAAAUGUUUUCAAACCAAACAUUUAAUUUGCAUAAAUUGUCGGCAAAUUUAAUGAAAAUUUCAUUUUCGAAAUUUCUUCAAAUUGAAUGCAAAAGUCACCGGAUAAGUAAAUCCCUCCCCCCCCUGCAAGCCACGCCACGCCCAUCAAUCAAAAAGGCGUCUGUGCUGUCCGCUCUUCUUUUGCUGGCUCAUUAUCAGAGCAGCAGGCAACAGUCAACACCGAAACACCGAA